Small nucleolar RNA from Mus spicilegus (steppe mouse), 123 nucleotides. Its record names the gene SNORA70. It matches the Rfam family "Small nucleolar RNA SNORA70". From Rfam's summary of the family: snoRNA U70 seems to be exclusive to mammals and is a member of the H/ACA class of snoRNA which contain H (ANANNA) and ACA box motifs. H/ACA box snoRNAs are involved in the conversion of uridines to pseudouridines (5-ribosyluracil) a constituent of structural RNAs (transfer, ribosomal, small nuclear, and small nucleolar). The record is from Ensembl. NCBI's taxonomy places the organism in Eukaryota, Metazoa, Chordata, Mammalia, Rodentia, Muridae.
CCGUAGGACCAGAGUCUCAUAAAAGAAUCCAAAAAUGUACAAUAGCUGCCAACAGCAACCUUCUUGGUAGUGUAUGCAACCUGUUGUCUGUAUGGGUUGUCCUAAAACAUCUUGAAGAUAGUA